UUUAUACUUCAUCUCUUAGGUUUAGUGGCAAACUUGCAAUUAAGCAUAAAUUCCCACUACCCUUGACAUGGCCGGCCUCCUUUUGUUAUUGGGCUAAAUACCCAUAUUUGUUUUAGUUGUCAUACAACUUAAACAUAAUGGGCCUAGUGGACCAAAACAAUUUUGGACCCCGAAGCCCAAACUAACUUAAAAGCCCAAUACGAACCUUUCGUAUAAUUAAUUAACUAAUUAAUUAAUCUUGACCAUUCUUCAAUUAAACCAUUUAAUUGCUUAUCCAUUUCAUAUAAUUUCUUCACUAACAUCCUUAUGUGGUGUGCGAUCCAUUAGGUUCCAAUUAGCGAGGCAGUGGGCGAUGUUACUCUUAACGAUCGAUUGUGAAUUGAAACCACAUUUCAAGUCUCCCUUAAGAUUAGUGUUUGAUAAUCUUCAGGGCUUCCACAAACCAUGAGUGACACCUAGCAGCAUAUCAUGGUUACCCAAGCUAAGUAGAAUUGGUUGGAGAACCUAUCCAGUUACAACUACAAUGCAAUACGGUCAUUCUCUAAUACAAUACUCUUAAUCACAUUGUUUAAGUGAUAGUUUGUUUCAUGUCUACUAUCCAAUGUGAUAUUUUCCUAUAUGAUUCCUUUGAAUAUGAUUUGGUACAAACUUCCUAAGUCAUAUUCAUUUGCUUUGGCCAAAGACUUUAGAAUCAUAUCUUAUAGUAUUCUCCCUCCACCAUGGAAGGUUAGAGAUCCCUUGUUGUGCAUUCAUAUGCCUACAUGACUAGAUAGCUUGACCCCAACAAUGCCGUGGACAAUCCGAAGGAAUGCCGUUGACAUGAUCAAAGAUCAAGGACCUAACCAUUAGACAUCUAUGAUGCCUCAGGUCAAAGGACUACUUUGCAUAUUGCAACUUUAGAGUUCAUACAUGACAUGUAUGUUCGAACUCUCUUUUGAUCGACGUUCAGUGUACUCGAUUACCUUUUCGAGCACCUAUGUGUUUGUCUCAGUGUCCAACACCAAAUGACUUGAGACUAGUUCAUACUCACGUUUGAGUCAACAUAACACAUACUAACCUUAGCGGAUUGUCAAUGCCCAAUUGGCAAUCCUAUGGCUAGGAACGUUUUAGGAAUGAACAUAAGAGAAAGGUCUCGAUAAUCUAACUCAUUAGAUCACUUAUCUCUUAGAACAAAUACAUUCCUUGGAUUCCCUUAUUGCUUAAACACAUGAUACAAUAAAUAGUGAUUAACAAUAAGCUUUGCCCUUCAUUAAACAUAUAAAAGUUUAAUACAAUAAGUAUUCCAAAAGCUAUUACAUCAAAUGAGUGGCUUUGUGGGCAUACUUCCAACAAUCUCCCACUUGCACUCAAAAGCCAUCUUCCCAUGUAUCUAAUACCCAUUUUAUCCAUAUGACGAUCAAGCUGGAUUUGAGACAUUGGCUUUGUCAGUGGAUCUGCUACGUUAUCGGCUGAGGCAACUUUGAGGAUGUUGACUUUCCCCUCGGCAGCAUAUCUUCUAAUGAUAUUAAAACGUCUGUCAAAAUGCUUGUUCUUUUGAUGUGCCCUGGGUUCCUUGGCUUGAGCUAUCGCCCCAUUAUUAUCACAGUACAAAGUUACUGGUGAUGUAAUGGUUGGAACCACUCCAAGUUCAGUAAUGAACUUCUUCAUCCAGAACGCUUCUUUGCCGGCUUCAGCUGUAGCGACAUAUUCAGCCUCUGUCGUGGAAUCAGCAAUUACACUUUGCUUCUUGCUUUUCCAACUGACAGCCCCACCAUUCAGAGUGAAUACAUAUCCUGAGUUGGAACUUCUAUCAUCGACGUCAGAUUGGAAAUCUGCGUCUGUAUAGCCUUCCACUCGCAACUCUGCCGCUCCUCCAUAUACGAGGAACAUGUCUUUAGUUCUUCUUAAGUACUUAAGGACCGUCUUAACAGCUGCCCAGUGUUAAUCCUGGGUUAGAUUGAUAUCGACUAGUAAUGCUCACAGCAUAUGCGAUAUCAGGCCUUGUGCAUAUCAUGGCAUACAUGAGACUUCCUAUGGCGGAAGCAUAAGGAAUCCUACUCAUAUGCCCUAUCUCUUCAGGAGUCUUAGGUUCCAUGGACUUAGAAAGGUGAAUUCCAUGUCUUACAGGAAGAAAGCCUUUCUUAGAUUAUUCCAUCUCGAACCUACUUAGCACCUUAUCAAUGUACAUAGAUUGGGAUAAUCCAAUUAAUUUUCUGGAUCUAUCACGAUAGAGCUUUAUCCCAAGUACAUAAGAUGCAUCUCCUAAAUCUUUCAUGUGGAAGGUUUUGGACAACCACACUUUUACAGAAGAAAGUAUUGCAGUGUCAUUCCCGAAUAGUAAUAUGUCAUCUACAUAUAACACUAGGAAUACAACUGCAUUCCCAACGACUUUUUGAUAAACACAAUUGUCGUCUUCGUUUUGAGUAAAACCAAACGUUUUGAUUUCAGUGUCGAAACGAAUGUUCCAGCUCCUGGAGGCUUGUUUAAGUCCAUAAAUGGAUCUUUGAAGCUUGCAUACCUUAGUCUUUUCAGACUUGGACACGAAACCUUCGGGUUGAGUCAUAUAGAGCUCUUCCUCUAGGUAGCCGUUCAGAAAGGCCGUCUUCACGUCCAUUUGCCAGAUCUCAUAAUCAUGGUACGCAGCUAUCGCAAGCAAAAUCCGAAUGGACUUAAUCAUGGCUACAGGAGAGAAAGUUUCUUCAUAGUCAAUCCCUUCUCUUUGCCUGUAACCCUUGGCUACUAAUCUAGCCUUAUAAGUCUCCACGUUCCCAUCAACGCCUAUCUUCCUCUUGAAGACCCAUUUGUUUCCAACAGGUACAAUACCUUCUGGAGGGUCUACAAGAGUCCAGACCUGAUUUUGAUACAUGGAAUCCAUCUCGGAUUUCAUGGCCUCUUGCCAUCUCUUUGAAUCAAUGUCGGAAAUUGCUUCAGUGUAGUCUCUAGGGUCUUCCUUUGUUUCAUUGUCACCUAGAAGGUACAAUUCAUCAAAGUCAUUGUCUAAGCCAUACCUCUUAGGUGGCUUACUAACCCGUUCAGAUCUACGUGGAGCUAGGGGUUCAGGAACAGGGUUGUCAUCUUGUUGAGUGCUGGUUUGUGGUUCAUCAUUAAUCUCAUUAAUUUCUUUCAAUUCUAUCGUUUUCUCACUACUUCCAUUGAGAACGAAUUCAUCUUCAAGGAAUAUAGCAGUUCUGGCGACAAAGACUUUCUUGUCGUCAGGGUUAUAGAAUUCGUAUCCCAAAGUCUGUUUGGAAUACCCCACAAAAUAGCACUUAAUAGAUCUUGCUUCAAGCUUGUCAGCUUCAAGCCUUUUAACGUAAGCCGGACAACCCCAAAUCCUAAUAUGAUUAAGAUUUGUGCUUUUGCCAUGCCAUAUCUCAUAUGGCGUUUGUGAAACUGACUUGGAAGGUACUCUAUUAAGCAAGUAAGCUGCUGUAUAUAGAGCGUAUCCCCAGAAUGAUACUGGUAGAUUAGCAGAACUCAUCAUAGAACGAACCAUGUUCAUCAAGGUUCGAUUUCUCCGUUCAGAAACUCCGUUAUGCUGAGGAGUUCCUGGUGGAGUCCACUGUGAUACUAUUCCACACUCUUUGAGAUAAUCUAGGAACUCGUUACUCAGAUAUUCACCCCCUUGAUCUGAUCUUAGGGUCUUUAUCUGUUUCCCAGUUUGCUUCUCAACUUCAUUCUUGAAUUCUUUGAACCUUUCAAAGGAUUCUGACUUGUACUUCAUAAGAUACACAUAGCCAAACCGAGAGUGAUCGUCGGUGAAUGUGAUAUAGUAGGAGAAGCCUCCUCUCGACGUAGUAGACAUAGGUCCACAUACGUCAAUGUGGAUUAACCCUAGAAUUUCAGUGGCACGUUCUCCUUUUCCAGUAAAUGGAGAUUUGGUCAUCUUACCUUUCAAGCAACAUUCACAAGUACCCAUUUGGUCAUUACCUAAUGGGCGAAUAUAUCCGUCUUUCGACAUCUUGCGAAUCUUAUCAAGGUUCACAUGUCCAAGUUUAAGAUGCCACAUCUUUUCUUGGUUAACUUCUUCUCUAGCCCUUUUGGGUUUUGAGGUAUUCCCGCUCUCAAUACAGUGCAUCCCACUAUUCGUCUCUAGGUGAAAAAGUCCCUCUAUCAUAUUACCAUGAGAGAUAAUACGACCGUUCAAGUAUAAAGUGCAACUCAUUUUGUCAAACAAUACUGAGUGCCCAUCUCGUAAAAGCUUAGAGAUAGAAAUCAAAUUCUUUAUACAUGAAGGAAAAUAUAAACAAUUUUUAAGUUCCAGGACUUCCCCAGAGGGUAGGUUAAGCAUGUAGGUGCCUAUUGUUUUUGCAGAGAUUUUAGUGCCGUUCCCAACUCGCACAACCAUCUCCUCAUUGCGCAGUGUCCUGCUCCCAGCUAGUCCCUGCAACGUAUUGCAGAUAUGUUGACUAGCGCCUGAAUCAAAUAUCCAGGAAUUGGAGCUCACUGUAAAAGCACUCUCUAUGACAGAAAUAGUCUCUUCAAAAGUUCGUGUCAUAAGGCUCGCAAUGCGCACCCUGUAUUUCUUCUUCCAACGUUCAUCCUUUCCACAAUGAAAGCAUGUUCCUUUGGAUUUCUUUGCCUUCUUCUUAUGCAACCUUUUCCUCAUCAUUGCAUUCUCACUCCCACUGUCCCUUUUGAAACCUUUUUUCAAAUUUACAGCACAUGUCGAUCAUCUCUCUUUCAAAGAAUGAUCGAAUCUAUUCACUUUAUAGUUUACAAUAAACUUAGUGAAAUCAUCCGAGAGAGAUGCAAGGAAAAAGUCUUGGGCCAUUUUCCCAUCGAUGGAAGUUCCUAAACUUUUAAGAUCUUUAAAUAUCUUUUCCAUCUUUUGUCCAUGUUUAUGGACCGAUGCCCCCUUUGCCAUCUUGGCAUUCAUUAGACUACAAACAUUUGAGAAUCGUACAUUACUAGUCUCAAUGUCAUGCAUCUUAUGCAAACUUUCAACCAUGGCACAAGAAGUGUCCAUGUGCUUAUGUAGCUUCAUAAGCUCCUCACUAAGUGAAGUAAGGAUUAAGCAUUUGGCUUGUAAGUCAUUCUCAUAGUGUCUAACAUAAUUUUGGCACUCCUCCUUUGAAGCUAGUUUCGUAGGAGGUACAUGAGGAGGGGAUUGCUUAAGCACAUACAAUAUGUCUUUCACCUUUGAGACAUUCUCAAUGUGGCGAUACCAAGCAAGGAAACGUUGGCCCUUAAGGCCCCUUUUGUCAAGUAUAAUGGUGGGUAUAAUUUUAGGCAUGUCGUUCACUACAUAACAUAACAGAAAUCGUAUUAGAUUGUUUGUUUAAAACUAUUUGAUUGGGUCUUUGAAUCAAAUAGUACCACCCACUAUUUUUGGCAAAUUCCACAUCCCUCAAUAGAAUUCGAGAGUUAUAUUGAACUCUUAGCGGGUUAUGGGAGACUCACCAUUACCAAGCCCACCUCAGAAGAACUCCAUAUUGGCUAGCAAAAAUAAUGAUGAGAGGAUAACGCAUUAUCCAUUUACAACUUUUGUAAUUACCCAUCUAUUUUGGCCUCUAGAGAAUGAUGCCUCAGAAGAACUCCAUAUUGGCACCAUUGCACUUAGUUAAGUUAUUCCCACCAUGCUAGUUCAAGUAGGGGUUCAAGACUGACCUCAGAAGAACUCCAUAUUGGCCAUACUCGUUGCCUACUUUCACUUCAUCAUAUGUUUAUGGGCUUCUCCUGAAUGUAAGCACAUACUUUGCAUACCCCAGAACUGGACGAAUACGGUGUAUGAGUCACAAACGAUUGAAGCCCACCACGGUGGAAGGCCUACGAAGAGAUGUUCAAAGCAUCUCUCGCUUAUCAACUUAAUAUCAGUUGUUGAGGGAGUAGUUUUGGGCUACAUCAAAACAUUUUAAUCAUAUUAAAAGAACUUGGGCCUAUCACAACUAUUGGUCCAAGUCAAUAUGAAUUAGUAGCAUAUAAUACUCCCACUGUUUCGUUGAAACAAGCGAGACUAUAUGGAACUACUAACGAAUGCAUUGCAUCCUCAUAUGGACUAUAUAGUCAUAUUAGGUUUUAGGAUGAUUAUGAACCGUUUGAUUUGAUCCAACACGAGCCUUGUGUUAGACCUUGGGUUUAAGGUAGAUAGUUGUUGAUUUUAGUUACGCGUUUAAUCCAAUUAAACCGUUAUUUCCUAUUGGGCGUUGGACCCAACUAUUCCAUUUUGCAUACAUAUAAACAAAAAGGAAUACAUGAAAUAAUAAUAAGGGCUUAUGCCCUUUUACAACAUAAAUCAAAUGAUGGACUUAUGUCCAUUUACAACAAUUCGAAUUAAUCAAAUUACAUUCAAAUCUACACUACCAAACCCAAACAUUCAUAAUGUAAAGCGGCCAAUCACAUAGCUCAAUUAUCGAUGCCUUUGGUUCAUAAUCACCAUUUUCUUAAUCAAUCACAUUAACUAAGAAAGCAACUUUAAACAAUUGGUUUUUGGAUCCAUAGAAUUGAUUUAAAUGGAACUAAAUGAAAUGAAAAUCCAAUUCUCAUUAAAGAGACAAAACAAUUUUGUUCUCAUUUUAUUUGGGCCAAAAGGAAACUAUGACCACAACAAUUGGGCCAUAAUGCAAAUACAAAAACUUUUGGGGUCACUUUGUAUAAACACAAUAGUCCACAACUUCAUGUAAAUACAACUAGAUCCCAAAAUUUUAAUAAUGUAAAAACAUCAUUAAAGGAUCAAAACAAUUUGUCCUUUAGAGUUUUUAAGCCUAAACGUAAAAACGUAAACUUUUGGGCCAAAAUGCAAAAACACAAAAGUAUCAAAACUUUAUGUUAAUUGCACAAAAGGCCCCAAAAGGACCCCCACUAGGGGUGGCCGGCCAUUUAAUGAAAAAUUGAAAAAAAAUCUAAAAAGUUUUUGCAAGUUGAUUUUAUUAGGUGAGGUUAAAGGUGAAGGUGAUGGUUUGUAAGAAAAACUUAAAGUUUAUGACAAACAUUAAAACCAUUUCAUCACAUCUCACCAAUAACAUCACCCAUCAAAUAAUAAAUCAAUUAUAUACCAAAACUUUAUGAAAAACAUAAAAAUUUAGAAUCAAAACUUCAAACCUUUUUGUUCUUGGCAAGAACUUCAAGAACAUUUGAAGAACACCAUGAAAACUCAUAAUAGCUCCAUGGAUGUUUUCAUUCACCAAAACUCAAUUUUCACCUCUCAAAAGAGGGCUAAUAUCCUAGGGUACUUAGGGGUUCCAAAAGUCACCUUAAAACCAUUUUAACAAGACAAACAUGAACCCAAAAAGUCACCCUAAGGAUUUGGCCGAAUUUCCCAAAACACAUGGCACCAAAUUUUAGUUCCAAUAUUCAUGCUUGAAUGAAAUACAUCUACAACAUUUGAGAUGCUAAAUUUUCUAGCAAAAUUCAUAUAUUCAAAAGCAAGAACAAAGCUUGUAACAUUUACAACAUUUAAAUCACAAAAUAUGAACAUCACAAAACCCAAAAGGAUUCACCAUACACUAGGCCUAGGCUCUGAUACCACUUGAAGGAAAAAUUUUGUCCUAGCUAAGAACAAGUAUGAACAUUUGAAUACACAUGCAAGCUAUUAACACUUUAAAGUAGGCAUGCAUCCAAAAACAAUUCAUAAAACCCAUGACUUUCAAAGCCUAGUAUAUGGUGAACCAAAAUAAAACUCUUUAACAACAUUAAAGAGAAGUAAAGAUUUAGUGAUUCUUUACCUUGAAGCUCAUCCUUGUUUACACAAGGGAUUCACCCAAGUGGAGGGCCUUCAAGUCACCUCCAAGCUCCUUGAAUCCUCCUUGUGUUUUCCUCCCUUUAGUGCUCCUUUGAUGAUUAGAGGAAAAAGGAUUUGUUCUCCAAAAACAUCAAAAGCUUGAUGUCUCUAAGUCUCUUCACCAAGGUUGUAUAUUGUGAAGAUGAUAUGGAUGACUUAGAGAGAUUUUAGAUGCUAGUAAAAAUCCUCUAAGUGGCCGGCCUCUAUGUAGAAAAUGAGAGAAAAUGUUUCACCCAAUUUCUAUUAGAAAACCCCAAUGAGAAACAAAGCUAUAAAGAUGACUUUAUACUUCAUCUCUUAGGUUAGUGGCAAACUUGCAAUUAAGCAUAAAUUCCCACUACCCUUGACAUGGCCGGCCUCCUUUUGUUAUUGGGCUAAAUACCCAUAUUUGUUUUAGUUGUCAUACAACUUAAACAUAAUGGGCCUAGUGGACCAAAACAAUUUUGGACCCCGAAGCCCAAACUAACUUAAAAGCCCAAUACGAACCUUUCGUAUAAUUAAUUAACUAAUUAAUUAAUCUUGACCAU
This 8226-nucleotide long non-coding RNA is filed under the name Malus domestica (apple). Its description in RNAcentral is "long non-coding RNA (MDOM_LNC012637)". The record is from RNAcentral. Lineage: Eukaryota; Viridiplantae; Streptophyta; Magnoliopsida; Rosales; Rosaceae.